Molecule: ribosomal RNA, 1410 nt
Filed under: Lactiplantibacillus plantarum
Lineage: Bacteria; Bacillati; Bacillota; Bacilli; Lactobacillales; Lactobacillaceae
Description: bacterial SSU rRNA
Rfam family: Bacterial small subunit ribosomal RNA
Source: RNAcentral
GCAGUCGAACGAACUCUGGUAUUGAUUGGUGCUUGCAUCAUGAUUUACAUUUGAGUGAGUGGCGAACUGGUGAGUAACACGUGGGAAACCUGCCCAGAAGCGGGGGAUAACACCUGGAAACAGAUGCUAAUACCGCAUAACAACUUGGACCGCAUGGUCCGAGUUUGAAAGAUGGCUUCGGCUAUCACUUUUGGAUGGUCCCGCGGCGUAUUAGCUAGAUGGUGAGGUAACGGCUCACCAUGGCAAUGAUACGUAGCCGACCUGAGAGGGUAAUCGGCCACAUUGGGACUGAGACACGGCCCAAACUCCUACGGGAGGCAGCAGUAGGGAAUCUUCCACAAUGGACGAAAGUCUGAUGGAGCAACGCCGCGUGAGUGAAGAAGGGUUUCGGCUCGUAAAACUCUGUUGUUAAAGAAGAACAUAUCUGAGAGUAACUGUUCAGGUAUUGACGGUAUUUAACCAGAAAGCCACGGCUAACUACGUGCCAGCAGCCGCGGUAAUACGUAGGUGGCAAGCGUUGUCCGGAUUUAUUGGGCGUAAAGCGAGCGCAGGCGGUUUUUUAAGUCUGAUGUGAAAGCCUUCGGCUCAACCGAAGAAGUGCAUCGGAAACUGGGAAACUUGAGUGCAGAAGAGGACAGUGGAACUCCAUGUGUAGCGGUGAAAUGCGUAGAUAUAUGGAAGAACACCAGUGGCGAAGGCGGCUGUCUGGUCUGUAACUGACGCUGAGGCUCGAAAGUAUGGGUAGCAAACAGGAUUAGAUACCCUGGUAGUCCAUACCGUAAACGAUGAAUGCUAAGUGUUGGAGGGUUUCCGCCCUUCAGUGCUGCAGCUAACGCAUUAAGCAUUCCGCCUGGGGAGUACGGCCGCAAGGCUGAAACUCAAAGGAAUUGACGGGGGCCCGCACAAGCGGUGGAGCAUGUGGUUUAAUUCGAAGCUACGCGAAGAACCUUACCAGGUCUUGACAUACUAUGCAAAUCUAAGAGAUUAGACGUUCCCUUCGGGGACAUGGAUACAGGUGGUGCAUGGUUGUCGUCAGCUCGUGUCGUGAGAUGUUGGGGUUAAGUCCCGCAACGAGCGCAACCCUUAUUAUCAGUUGCCAGCAUUAAGUUGGGCACUCUGGUGAGACUGCCGGUGACAAACCGGAGGAAGGUGGGGAUGACGUCAAAUCAUCAUGCCCCUUAUGACCUGGGCUACACACGUGCUACAAUGGAUGGUACAACGAGUUGCGAACUCGCGAGAGUAAGCUAAUCUCUUAAAGCCAUUCUCAGUUCGGAUUGUAGGCUGCAACUCGCCUACAUGAAGUCGGAAUCGCUAGUAAUCGCGGAUCAGCAUGCCGCGGUGAAUACGUUCCCGGGCCUUGUACACACCGCCCGUCACACCAUGAGAGUUUGUAACACCCAAAGUCGGUGG